This 85-nucleotide ribosomal RNA is filed under the name Pseudomonas poae. RNAcentral also lists the same sequence under 4 other names. Lineage: Bacteria; Pseudomonadati; Pseudomonadota; Gammaproteobacteria; Pseudomonadales; Pseudomonadaceae. The record is from RNAcentral.
CUUGACGACCAUAGAGCAUUGGAACCACCUGAUCCCAUCCCGAACUCAGCAGUGAAACGAUGCAUCGCCGAUGGUAGUGUGGGGU